GACGAACGCUGGCGGCGUGCUUAACACAUGCAAGUCGAACGGAAAGGCCCUGCUUGCAGGGUGCUCGAGUGGCGAACGGGUGAGUAACACGUGGGUGAUCUGCCCCUUACUUUGGGAUAAGCCUGGGAAACUGGGUCUAAUACUGGAUAGGACCAUGCUGUAGGUGGUGUGGUGGAAAGAUUAGUUUCGGUAAGGGAUGAGCUCGCGGCCUAUCAGCUUGUUGGUGGGGUAAUGGCCUACCAAGGCGUCGACGGGUAGCCGGCCUGAGAGGGUGGACGGCCACAUUGGGACUGAGAUACGGCCCAGACUCCUACGGGAGGCAGCAGUGGGGAAUAUUGCACAAUGGGCGCAAGCCUGAUGCAGCGACGCCGCAUGGGGGAUGACGGCCUUCGGGUUGUAAACUCCUUUCAGCCAUGACGAAGCCCUUGUGGUGACGGUAGUGGUAGAAGAAGCACCGGCUAACUACGUG
Molecule: ribosomal RNA, 469 nt
Filed under: uncultured bacterium
Lineage: Bacteria
Description: partial 16S ribosomal RNA
Rfam family: Bacterial small subunit ribosomal RNA
Source: RNAcentral